ACAUUAGUAAAUUUCUUUGAUUAAACUUAACAUGGAUACAUUCUCAAUCAAAGAAAAAAGAAUGUACCCAUAUAAGUUUAAAAAUGGAUUACAAAAAAAAUUGAAUAGAUUUUAUAUAAAAAAAAUGGUACAUUUUACAUAUAACAAAUUGGUAUAUUUAAGAAUGAGUACAUUUUAAGAUUAAAAAUUUGAAAAAAUUACAUGAAUGGGUACAUAUAAUUCGCAUGGGUACAUUUAGCAAAAAUAAAUAUGGGUACAAAUAAAUAAAAAAAUGUGGGUACAAAUACGAAUAAAACUUUAAAAAAUAUGGGCACAAAAAGAAAUUAAUAUAUGGGAAAAAAUUAAAAUUGAACGAAAUUGGUACAAAUUAAAAUUGGGUUGCAAAUUAAAAAUGGGUACAAACUAAAAAUAAAAAUAUAUGAUAAAAAAUUUAGCCAUAAAUAUAAAGGAAAACUAACGAAAAGUAAAAAAAAAAUUCCCUUUUAAUGAAAAGCCCUUUUUAAAUGUCACAGCCCGUUCCAAAAUUUUGUAACAUUAAUUGGUCUCGAACGAGGAAGUUACUAAAUCACCCUUGGACAUUAAGGUGUGUUGUGUGUAUUAUGUACUUAAGUUGCACAAUUCUAAUAUUUCCUAAUUUUUUGGAGACUUAGGCUUGUUACUUUGUUUUGUGGGUUAGUAACCAACUAGAACCACACACACACCUAUCCAUUUCCCUGUGUACUCUCUCUCUCUCCUCCCUCUCUCAAUUUUCUGCAACGUCUGUACAAGCGUACUGACAAUUCUUGAACCACUCCAUUUAGGCAGGGAUUGAGGCUAAAGUUAGUGUCUUUGAGUUCUUGGCAAGCUAAGGAUCACAACCAUACCUUUUUUUAGACGUAAAACCCUCGUUUUCUCGAGAACCCAAAUUCGAGGUACUGUUCAUGCACAAGUAAAUGUGAAGUUUUCAGAAGAUUUUAAGCCUCUAGGAAGCUUUAGAACGUCUUCACAAAGCUCGGAAAAGAAAAACGAGGUGUUUUGGACGUUGAGAAGUCGAGUUUGGUCGGAAUUAUCGUGCUUUCUUCGGAGAGAUCUCGUGAUCUUUGGAGCUUGAAAUUGGUAAGAUUGUGUUCUAUUCAUCCUAAACAUCAAUUUGGUUCAAGUUUUAUGGAAUUUGGUUGAAAAAUGGAAGAGAAAUGAAGGUUUAAACAUUUUCCAGUUUUCCGACGACGGCGACGACCGGCGAGGUUCACUGGAGAAGAAAAAAGAAUAUUCAGUCAAAGUUGACGGAAUAUUUUUAAUGGAGGGUAACAGUGUUAGGUAAUUUGGACAAAA
This 1311-nucleotide long non-coding RNA is filed under the name Malus domestica (apple). RNAcentral describes it as "long non-coding RNA (MDOM_LNC004849)". Lineage: Eukaryota; Viridiplantae; Streptophyta; Magnoliopsida; Rosales; Rosaceae. The record is from RNAcentral.